Molecule: transfer RNA, 68 nt
Filed under: Homoneura picta
Lineage: Eukaryota; Metazoa; Arthropoda; Insecta; Diptera; Lauxaniidae
Description: tRNA-Trp
Rfam family: tRNA
About the family: Transfer RNA (tRNA) molecules are approximately 80 nucleotides in length.
Source: RNAcentral
AAGAUUUUAAGUUAAUAAAACUAUUAGCCUUCAAAGCUAUCAAUAUAAGUAUAAUCUUCUAAAUCUUA